GUGGGGUGCCAGCAUUGCAGAAGCACCGCAAAAAAAAGGCCUCUUUUUGGAAUGUCAAAUGAGGUCAAAGUCUGUCCUGAGUCCCAGGCUCCGAGCAGAGGAUAGGAUAGGAUAGCACAUCCUAUCCGCUGGGCUCCUGAAGGGCUUAGAGCAGAGAGAGGACUGGGAAGAUGCUGGGCCUGAUGCCACACCAACCCUGUUCCUGCGGGCCCAGCUUCUGCCAUGAGGUACCUGCUGGUUCCCCGACAUGGGAGACGACCUUCCCUCCCCGCUGGGGGGAGACACAUUUGGGGCAUCAGUGGCAGCCACUACAGAGCAGUUGGCCUUGCCCUGUCUCUUGAGAUUUCUCCCCACUUUCUUUUCUGUCCACCCCUGUAACCUGAGCAUUAUUCAUGUCUGAAAUACCCCAGCGAGUCACAACAGCCCUGCCCGCCUCCCGAGACUCCACACCACCUCUUUUAGAAGGUAAUCUUCCUCCUUACCUUCACCAUUUCACCCCCCACCGGACCCUUUCCUACGCCCCUGCUUCCCUGGAGACGGCAGAGACAUGACUGGUGUUUGGGCCUGGAGGUGCGCACCGGGACUUCACCCACGGACACCGUCUUCCCAGCAGCCUCUGGGGUCCUGGGCUGCCCCGCCGAUCUGUCAGCCGGGUGCAGUCAAGACCUCCCCCAGAAUGUGGAGAUCUGUUCACGUUGACACUUCAGCCUGGCCUGGACAACACUUGCAUUUUGGAGAAAGUAAAUGAUGGUGAUUAAGAGCCUUUCCAAAACUGACCUGCAGGGCCCAAAAGGCUCAGGCCACAGACCGGGCCUGCCCAUUUCCAAGGCAGAAGGAGCCACACUCUUCCGGGGACUGCCACUUGGUGGACAGUCCCAAGGAUCCAGACUCUUUGGUGGAGAUGACCUUGUGUGAUGUCUGUUGCACUCACUGGGGCCCACCCAUGCCCCUUCAGCCUGGGCCAGUCCUGCUGCUCAAUGGCUCCCUGGUCACCUGGUCACUGGAGAGAUGACGAUGUGGUCAUGAAACAGAGGGCCAGCAAGAGAUUCAGAGAUGGAACACUGUGGCCUCUGGAGACGGAAGACAGGGCCCUGAGCCGAGGGAGGCAGGUGGCCUCUGGAAGCCAGCAAAGGCGAGGACACGGAUUCUGCCCUGGAGCUUGCCGAAGGAGCCAGGUGUGCCGACACCUUAACCGUAGCCCAGCAAAACCGACUCCGGAUUUCUGGCCUCCAGAACGCACGGAGAACACACUGGUGUUGUGCUGAGCCACUGCUUUCGGAGGGCUUUGUUAGAGCCGUCAUGGGACACGGGACCAACUGCUGAGCCGGCGACCCCGGCCGCCGGCCCGGCUGUGGCGCAUUCCUGGCGACAGCAGCGACCCCGCCGUGGGGCUGUCAUCUGGCGGGGGAUGUCAUCAAGCUGCAGGCAAGCGUGACCUAUCACAGGGGACACCCGGGGCUAAGGGACGUCGAAGGGCCCUGCUCCGUUUCGGGGGUGAGGCCGACACCCGAGCGCAAGCUGCUUCCGCAGAGGCGGGAGGGUGAGCAGAGAGAGAGCACAAGCAGGUGAGAGGGAGAAGCACGCUCCCCACUGAGCAGGACCCCGAGAUCAUGACCCGAGCCGAAGGCAGACGCUUACCCAACCGAGCCACUGGGCGCCCCACUGGAGGUUUAAAUACGUGUACAGCACUUGGAACAGCGUCCCGUGCAGAGUAAGGGCUCAGUAAAUCUGCUCUUCACACCGCCUCGUAUCAACAGCUCAUUGGGGGAGAUUUAGCUGAGUUUCUGUCACCGGCCACCAGGAGAGUCCUGACUGAUAGAUCCGUGCUCAGUGAACACACAUUGACUGACUGAGUGAGCACCGAGGGCUCUGGUACUCUCUAUAGGUUUGGGGGUGAUUUUGUGGUAAGGGCCCCCCUUCCCUGUGGGUCCAUAGGGACAGGGAAAAGCAUUCUCUCUCUUCUCCCCACCUGCAGGCCCUGGCAGCCAUGUCUCAGUUUCCUUCCAAGGGAGGACGAGGCUCCACUCAAGGCAGGGGUGCACCCCCCUCAGAAGCUGAAUCCCUGUUUUCCUCUCCCUGACUUGAACUUUCCCAACAGGGAAGCUCUCCUGCCUCACUGAGAAAGAGGAAUGGGAAAUGUACCCGAGUGUGAGAGUCCUAGGAACAGGCCAGGGGGUCAUUGCCUUUAUCAGUCCCAUUUUGCAGAUGAAGACAUUGAGGCCAGGGAGGUUCAGUUAUCUGUCCUCAAAGCCCGGGCUCACUGAACAGAACUCUGUUUUUGCCCCCAAACAUUGCUUCCUCUCCCUUAGCCAUUUUCCCUCUGGUGUCCUCAUUUUUUCUGGCUUUCUUGCCCUCUCAAAUCUACAUACUCUAAUUCAUUGUAAUUACUCAUUCCUUGCUCUUAGGUCAUAAAGAAGAAUGUUUGGCCACCUCUGAGUUUGUGUCUUUGCUCCAUGUGGUAGAAGCUGUGUGUCCUUGGGCCAAUGUCUUUACCUCUCUGGGCCUUGGUUCUUUCAACCACGGCAGUGGAGAUGGCCAAACAUGCUCUUAGGCUUUUUAUAAGAACUGAGUAAGUCAAUACAUGUAAAGUGCUUUAAACAGUAAGCCCUUCAGAAGUACUCUGGCCGCUUUUGUCAUUCAUUUCCUUCAGCAAUUAGAUUGUGUUGUAUGUCCUGGAAUGAAAUAGAGAAAGAGCCCCCAAAUAAGUAAA
Ailuropoda melanoleuca (giant panda) is the source of this 2710-nucleotide long non-coding RNA. RefSeq lists it as uncharacterized. Lineage: Eukaryota; Metazoa; Chordata; Mammalia; Carnivora; Ursidae. The transcript is spliced from 4 exons. The record is from RefSeq and is a predicted model, not a curated record.